UAUGUGGUCAAGGGAUGAAUGGUGAUGUAGAAGAAGUGAGGGCAUGUCGUGAGUGCUUGGUCGGGUUGGUAGUGGUUGUAUUCGGAAACUCCUCCAUGAGAUAGAAUGGUUAAUCUAUGAUCAAGAGCAGAGUGAGCAGGGUGAUAGAGUAAGGGGUUAGAAUCAAGUGUACUACUACAUUUAAGGUAUACAUGAAUGGUAAAGGCAGGAGGAUAAAGGUUGAGGGGUGUACUUUCUUAGUGCAUGUUUCCUGCUGGUUGAUUUCUUUAUAUUAUGCGGUGGGCAUCGAGUUGACCGAUAAUGCCUACCAGUACGUGUGGUUUGUGCUAAUACUACUCUUGUUAUGCCUUUUGACAUAGUUUGGUUGCAGGGUCAUUGAUGUUUCAUAGGUGUAGACGAAGACAAUCUCCAACAACUUCUACUCUUCCUUCCCUAUGGUGGAAGUUGUGUCAUUAGCUACUGUAUUUUAUACCCUAUAAUCUUAGAAGCUCUUGUACCUGUUUAGACUAGAUCUCUGGGGGCAUUAAACUUAGUUUACAAAUUUAACUUUGGAUUGUUUAAACUGUUAUCUACUUAACGAUCACAUGAAUUUCCUUUUAUCUCCAAUUUUCUUAAUUUUCCGCAUGUUUUUAACCGUUUGGGGGAUCAAGGGUCCUCCUACUUAGGUGUUAGAGUAGGUGCUCGCACG
Molecule: long non-coding RNA, 688 nt
Filed under: Solanum tuberosum (potato)
Lineage: Eukaryota; Viridiplantae; Streptophyta; Magnoliopsida; Solanales; Solanaceae
Description: long non-coding RNA (STUB_LNC001871)
Source: RNAcentral